Molecule: ribosomal RNA, 292 nt
Filed under: uncultured bacterium
Lineage: Bacteria
Description: partial 16S ribosomal RNA
Rfam family: Bacterial small subunit ribosomal RNA
Source: RNAcentral
GUGCCAGCAGCCGCGGUAACACGGGGGGAGCAAGCGUUGUUCGGAAUUACUGGGCGUAAAGGGUGUCUAGGCGGUCGAGUAAGUGAGAUGUGAAAUGCCCCGGCUCACCCGGGGACCUGCAUUUCAUACUGCUCGGCUCGAGUACGGGAGAGGAUGAGGGAAUUCCUGGUGUAGCGGUGAAAUGCGUAGAUAUCAGGAGGAACACCGGUGGCGAAAGCGCUCAUCUGGCCCGAUACUGACGCUGAAGCACGAAAGCUAGGGGAGCAAACGGGAUUAGAUACCCCCGUAGUCC